Small nucleolar RNA from Choloepus didactylus (southern two-toed sloth), 74 nucleotides. RefSeq annotates it as small nucleolar RNA SNORD113/SNORD114 family. NCBI's taxonomy places the organism in Eukaryota, Metazoa, Chordata, Mammalia, Pilosa, Megalonychidae. The transcript has a single exon. The record is from RefSeq and is a predicted model, not a curated record.
CGGAUCAGUGAUGAGGAAUGGUGGUGUUUGAGUCGUGGAUGAUGCACAUAUGUGUCUGGAACUCUGAGCCCCAC